ACUUACGGCCAUACCACCCUGAACACGCCCGAUCUCGUCUGAUCUCGGAAGCUAAGCAGGGUCGGGCCUGGUCAGUACUUGGAUGGGAGACCGCCUGGGAAUACCAGGUGCUGUAAGCU
Molecule: ribosomal RNA, 119 nt
Organism: Lates calcarifer (barramundi perch)
Lineage: Eukaryota; Metazoa; Chordata; Actinopteri; Centropomidae
Source: Ensembl